Molecule: ribosomal RNA, 516 nt
Filed under: Triticum aestivum (bread wheat)
Lineage: Eukaryota; Viridiplantae; Streptophyta; Magnoliopsida; Poales; Poaceae
Description: partial small subunit ribosomal RNA
Source: RNAcentral
AUUUGCAGGGCUCGUAUUCCUCCUAAGGUUAAGGUUUUCCUCUGGCAAGCCUCUCGUGGUCGGCUACCGACGGGGGAUCAAAUCCGAAAGCGUAAUGGUCCGGGCUCUGAUAGAUGCGCUUUAUGCGGUAUGAGAGAAGAUACGGCACAUGUCUUUUUUAACUGUGUGUUGGCUAAUCUGUUUUGGUGUUGUAUUAGAUCCUGGCUGCAUGUUUCUUGGGCUCCGACCUCCUUCUCUGACCUGCGCGUCCUGGUUAAUUCUUUGGUUGGGGCCCAGAGAAGAAUGUUUUGGGUGGGCCUCGCUGCGAUUUGUUGGGCCCUCUGGACGACAAGGAAUAAAUUUACCAACGAACAUGUCUUUCCUGCUAAACCAGCUGAUUACUUAUUUAAAACUUGUGUAUUCCUGCAGCAGUGGAGAUCAUUGACUAAGGAGGAGGACAGGGACACCUUCGAUGCCAUGUUGGCCAACAUCCGCACCUCUGCUAUCUCCAUCUCACCAGUUCAAGCAGGCACUUAG